Molecule: long non-coding RNA, 1928 nt
Organism: Triticum aestivum (bread wheat)
Lineage: Eukaryota; Viridiplantae; Streptophyta; Magnoliopsida; Poales; Poaceae
Exons: 3
Source: RefSeq, a predicted model, not a curated record
CAGAGAGAGAUGCAUGCAAGGAGAGAGAGAUGCGCAUGUAGAGAGAUGGAGAGAGAGGACUACGUGGGCACGAGAAUAAAUGCCUGCAAGCCAAUCGUUCGCAUGCGCAUGCAGAGAGUAUUUAACUACCCAGCCUCCCUUCCGUAUCAAACCAGGGGCAAAACAGUCCGAUUUUUGCUGCUUUCUCCUCUCCUUGGUAUGCGGGUUGAGCAUAGAACGCAAAGAAAAAAGGAUCGGAGGGAGUACAGUAUAUAUCUCCAAGGCCCUGAUUAUUUUCUUUACCAAUCUUUAGUAUUCUCAUGUUUCAGGUUUUGUUCAGGGCUAACAUACAUUCUUUUAGGCUAAUUACUAAAUCAAUCUAACGAUGGUUCAUGUGGCAGCAGAGGUGUAGCAACAGCAGUUUGAAGCAGAUUAGGCGCCCGCGGGCGUCAAUGACGGCGAGGCUGUUGAGUGAAGGAAAUGGCGGUGUGGCGAUUUGUGUCCUAUUCUCCAUCUUUUAAGCUCAUAACAGAAGAAAGAACGAUAGAAUCGACUUUAUCACUAUUGUUUUUUAAGAAUAAAAACCUUUCUUGUACGCAUGUAUUGAUGAGUACUCCUCUUGACUCGAUUGUGUUGUAGGGAAUGAAACCAUCUAGUUGGGGUGGUCUGCAGCUCUGGUCGCCUCCAGCAGCACCACAUAAUAAAAGUUCCAAACAGUAGUGUUGCAUUGCUGCCUCCAGCCAACCACAACAUAAUCAUUGGAUGUGUUUCUUAUGUAGAAGAUUUGAGUGAUGUACAUGUUUAUUUCAGAAAAUAUUUCUUAAUGAAAGUUUAUUAUAAGACAUAUAUUCCUCUACAUUAGCUUUAGUUUUUUUUGCUAACUAGAAAGUGUGGUUUCCUUUCUUUACACGAACUCACUAAAGCACGGGAUCCAUUUGGGGUUCCUAGAUUGCUAAUUUUAGGAGCACACAAGAUUUAGACUCCUGCUAUGUAAUUAAAGGAAAUCACAAUAUUGAGCAAUAUCCUCUGUAUAUUUACUAACCACGGAUCCCUGACUUUCAAAUAUAAAUUAUAAUUUCAAAAGUUUAUUUAUAGGAAUGAUAAAUAGUAUGUAUAAAUGCCUUUAUGAGAAUAAAUUUAUUUCAGCCACAUGGAAGCCAACACAGCAUCACAUGCAAUAUUUCUCAAUUAGUUAAAAGUAUGCUUCCUCUAAAAUUUAUGUUUUUUUAUUUUCUUCUUACAUAAAAAUGUCCUAGUUAUACAUGGCAAACUAAAAUUGUCUUGCAGACGCACUGGUUGAUGACUAGUCUAACUAGCUCGGUGAUAAAGAGUAAGAUGUAAAGUUGCCAAGAUAGUAACUAGGACACAUAGAACAGGACGAAUAUAGAUUCUCUUCUUUUAUUAAGUAGGAAUGGAACUUGAUGAAGCUUUACUUGUGUUGUGCUUUUCUAGAGAUGCAUGAGACACCUGUAACCUUUUCUCCUUGGCUUUGCAGCUGCACGCACCAACUUGUUGUAGGGGGACACCAUGGAAGGUGUACAAAAUUAGCAAUGGAUCUCUAGGCUGGUGAUGACCAAGUAAAUUCGUUUCAGUGGAUUUGGGGCUGUACGUUCAUUCCAAAGCGUGAUUGAAAAGAUAUAUGGAUGAUUAUAUGGGUGUAUAACAAGUAUACUGCAAUGAUGAUGAUGAUGAUCAUCCUCAUCAUGAUGAUGCUGAUGAUAUUCUGGUUCAUGACGAUGGAUGCUUUCAAUUUUAGUUAAGUUGUGGGAUGUUCAUGUUGGACGAUGUUCCUCAGUUAGUUUUAAUUAAGUUGUAGGGAUGUUGAUGGAUGAUUUUAGUUUAGAUUUUGCUGUCGAGAAAAUAUUAGAUUAUGCAUCACAUUUGGAUGAUGUUCCUCCUGUAAUAUCCAUUGUUGUAAUCCAACAGUUUUAUCCAAUAUAUGAUUUCUU